CACACCUCCCUGCAUGUGACUUGCACAGCCUUCCAUAAACACUUCCUGUAAAGAGAGCCCUAUUUAGGCUUUCUUUAUUGCAAGUUCUGUUUAAUUAAGAUUUUCUUAUCCCCUGCUAUGUUAAUAGCGUGCUAGACCCUGCAAGAGCCUCCUGUAUGUGAUUAAAGUUCAAUUUAGAGAUUGAGAUACCAAUGUGUAAUGUAAAUUACAUCUGUUUGAAAGUGAAACCAGUUUUUUUUUUUUUUUCAUGCAGGCUCUGUCAAUCAUAGCCAGGGGAGGUGUGGCUAGGGCUGCAUAAACAGAAACAAAGUGAUUUAACUCCUAAAUGACAGUGAAUUGAGCAGUGAAAUAGCAGGGGAAUGACCUAUACACUAAAACUGCUUUAUUUAGCUAAAGUAAUUUAGGUGACUAUAGCGUUCCUUUAAUUUGUGGUUUAACAGCCAUGGUUGGUCAGUUUUCACUGGGGCAAAACAAGGGACCACACACCGAGAGACGAACAAGGGGGUACGGACAACCGAACAUAGGGUGACAGAGUCUGCUACUGUUACAUACAUGUUCUCAAGUUCUCACCUUUACUAGCACAUAAGCAGAGAAAAAGUAAAAUGAAAGCAGGAUCUCCCCCUUAGAAUGUGUCGAAUUGAUAAAUGACUGCAUGCUCCAUGACGGUGAUGAGUUGGGACUGGUGGUAUUAACGUGGCACGUGAACUCCCUUGCUGUAACAUUUUUUCCUAUUGUAAAACCAAUCAAUAAUGUCUUCAAACAUGCAAAAGUGAACCAGAUUCCCAAACAUGUUAUGCUAAUAUAAGUAACAAAAGCUCCUGUUCUGUGAACAUGUCCAGUGUGUGUAUGGCAUGACUGACAGAAUGCUCGUUGCCUCCUUAUACAAACAAGAUCACGGUGUAUAUCCCAGAUGUUACCUGCUUACAUGUGGUUAUGUACUUAGAAGUGUUGCACAAUCACAGCCAAUUACCUGGAGUUUUAUAGGCUGGCAAAGAAACGUCAUGCCCAGUUCUCUGGCAUUUAUAUGAUCUGUGUCCUUAAUUACAGGAUGGUAGCAGACAUGCAAGGAAUUUGCAAUAGAGAUCGGUUUGUUAACUUAUUAUAAACGCAUUGUAUGUUAAAAUUGAACAUAGAAUCCAAUCCUUUCAAUAAUUUCUCAUGAUUUGUGAUAUAAUGUUUACUUAUCUCCUAUAUUUAACAAAUGUUUAUUUUUGAGCGGUAGAAAAUAAAAUAAAAUGCAGAAUAAAGAGGUGU
Molecule: non-coding RNA, 1254 nt
Organism: Pelobates cultripes (western spadefoot toad)
Lineage: Eukaryota; Metazoa; Chordata; Amphibia; Anura; Pelobatidae
Source: the annotation of a GenBank genome assembly